RNAcentral lists this unclassified non-coding RNA (329 nucleotides) under soil metagenome. RNAcentral's name for it is "partial contains 5.8S ribosomal RNA, internal transcribed spacer 2, and large subunit ribosomal RNA". The stretch from base 1 to 120 matches the Rfam family "5.8S ribosomal RNA", at positions 35 to 154 of the family's 154-position model. The record is from RNAcentral.
GAUGAAGAACGUAGCGAAAUGCGAUAAGUAAUGUGAAUUGCAGAAUUCAGUGAAUCAUCGAAUCUUUGAACGCACAUUGCGCCCCUUGGUAUUCCGAGGGGCAUGCCUGUUCGAGCGUCAUUAUAACCCCUCAAGCUCAGCUUGGUGUUGGGGCCUGCAGCACUGGCAGCCCUUAAAAUCAGUGGCGGCGCCAUCUGGCUCUAAGCGUAGUAAUUCUUCUCGCUAUGGAGUCCUGGUGGAUGCUUGCCAUCAACCCCCAAUUUUUCUAUGGUUGACCUCGGAUCAGGUAGGGAUACCCGCUGAACUUAAGCAUAUCAAUAAGCGGAGGA